Molecule: long non-coding RNA, 541 nt
Organism: Gossypium raimondii (Peruvian cotton)
Lineage: Eukaryota; Viridiplantae; Streptophyta; Magnoliopsida; Malvales; Malvaceae
Exons: 2
Source: RefSeq, a predicted model, not a curated record
CAAACCAAAAUUUCAAUCUUCAACCCAAAUGCUCAUUAAAAGUUAAUACUUUUAUGGGUGAAUGACUAUUCCAUUCAGGUCCGAUUUCGAUUUCUACAGUAAAAUACUCCAAAACAAAGGUUUGGUUUGGAUGAAUUAUGGAUUAUGGGUGGGGCUGUUUAACACUCUAUUUCUGAAUCUCAAUUCAACGCUCUAACGAAUAGAGAAAAAAUAAUUUAUUCCCGAGCUUCUUCCCUAACUAGAAAAUCUCAAACCCACUGACCUCAUUCAACUCUAGUCUUAGUUUGGAGGCUGUAAAUCUCUUUAUCAUCCAACUUCGGAGGCUGUCAAUUUUUGUAUGUGUGAUUGGUGUGGUGUUGAAGUUUACUUCAACUUUUUUUUUUGUAUGUACUUGUAGGAUGAUAUAAUGGCAUGGAAGUAUGUAAUACUAAUAUUGUCACUUUUUGUAGAUGUGUAAAUGAAUUUUCUACUAUAAUUAGACUCUUGAAAGCCGACCACGGUUUUUUAUGUUAAGAUAGAUGCUGAGAUGAUUGUUGGAUUA